Molecule: ribosomal RNA, 266 nt
Filed under: uncultured bacterium
Lineage: Bacteria
Description: partial 16S ribosomal RNA
Rfam family: Bacterial small subunit ribosomal RNA
Source: RNAcentral
AAUCAACGCUGGCGGCGUGCCUCAGACAUGCAAGUCGAACGAUUUAAAGCUCUCUUCGGAGAGUGCAUAGAGUGGCGCACGGGUGAGUAACACGUAAGUAAUCUACCUUUGAGUGGGAAUACCGUCGGAAACGACGCUAAUACCGCAUAAUGCAGCGGCAUCGCAAGAUGACAGUUGUUAAAGAUUUAUCGCUUGAAGAGGAGCUUGCGGCAGAUUAGCUAGUUGGUAAGGUAAUGGCUUACCAAGGCUACGAUCUGUAACCGGUC